GUCUGCAACUCGACUACAUGAAGCUGGAAUCGCUAGUAAUCGCAGAUCAGAAUGCUGCGGCGAAUACGUUCCCGGGUCUUGUACACACCGCCCGUCACACCAUGGGAGUCGGAAAUGCCCGAAGCCGGUGACCAAACCAAUAAGGAAGGAGCCGUCGAAGGCAGGUCUGAUAACUGGGGGUGAAGUCGUAACAAGGUAGC
RNAcentral lists this ribosomal RNA (200 nucleotides) under uncultured bacterium. RNAcentral's name for it is "partial 16S ribosomal RNA". It matches the Rfam family "Bacterial small subunit ribosomal RNA", at positions 1303 to 1500 of the family's 1533-position model. The record is from RNAcentral.